This 69-nucleotide transfer RNA is filed under the name Thienemanniella xena. Its description in RNAcentral is "tRNA-Asp". The record is from RNAcentral. Lineage: Eukaryota; Metazoa; Arthropoda; Insecta; Diptera; Chironomidae.
AAAAAUUAGUUAAAUAUUAUAUAACAUUAACUUGUCAAGUUAAAAUAAUUAAAUUGUUAAUAUUUUUUA